GAUAUAGCUCAGUGGUAGAGCACAUACCUAGUAUGCAUGAGGACCUAGGCCCAAUUCCCAGUAUC
RNAcentral lists this transfer RNA (65 nucleotides) under Cricetulus griseus (Chinese hamster). It matches the Rfam family "tRNA". From Rfam's summary of the family: Transfer RNA (tRNA) molecules are approximately 80 nucleotides in length. Their secondary structure includes four short double-helical elements and three loops (D, anti-codon, and T loops). The record is from Rfam by way of RNAcentral. Lineage: Eukaryota; Metazoa; Chordata; Mammalia; Rodentia; Cricetidae.